CCCUUAGAUGUCCGGGGCCGCACGCGCGCUACACUGAAGGAAUCAGCGUGGAUGCCUCCCUGGUCCGAAAGGAUUGGGAAACCCGUUGAAUCUCCUUCGUGCUAGGGAUUGGGGCUUGUAAUUCUUCCCCAUGAACGAGGAAUUCCCAGUAAGCGCGAGUCAUAAGCUCGCGUUGAUUACGUCCCUGCCCUUUGUACACACCGCCCGUCGCUACUAUCGAUUGAGCGGUUCAGUGAGGGCCUCGGAUUGGUCUCGGUCUGGCGUGCAAGCGCCGGCACCGUUGGCCGAGAAGACGCUCGAACUUGAUCGUUUAGAGGAAGUAAAAGUCGUAACA
This 334-nucleotide ribosomal RNA is filed under the name uncultured eukaryote. RNAcentral's name for it is "partial 18S ribosomal RNA". It matches the Rfam family "Eukaryotic small subunit ribosomal RNA", at positions 1470 to 1796 of the family's 1831-position model. The record is from RNAcentral.